RNAcentral lists this ribosomal RNA (448 nucleotides) under uncultured bacterium. RNAcentral's name for it is "bacterial SSU rRNA". It matches the Rfam family "Bacterial small subunit ribosomal RNA", at positions 329 to 794 of the family's 1533-position model. The record is from RNAcentral.
CGCCAGACUCCUACGGGAGGCAGCAGUGGGGAAUAUUGCACAAUGGGGGAAACCCUGAUGCAGCGACGCCGCGUGAGCGAUGAAGUAUUUCGGUAUGUAAAGCUCUAUCAGCAGGGAAGAAGAUGACGGUACCUGACUAAGAAGCCCCGGCUAACUACGUGCCAGCAGCCGCGGUAAUACGUAGGGGGCAAGCGUUAUCCGGAUUUACUGGGUGUAAAGGGAGCGUAGACGGCGAUGCAAGCCAGAUGUGAAAGCCCGGGGCUCAACCCCGGGACUGCAUUUGGAACUGUGUGGCUGGAGUGUCGGAGAGGCAGGCGGAAUUCCUAGUGUAGCGGUGAAAUGCGUAGAUAUUAGGAGGAACACCAGUGGCGAAGGCGGCCUGCUGGACGAUGACUGACGUUGAGGCUCGAAAGCGUGGGGAGCAAACAGGAUUAGAUACCCCCGUAAC